AGUGAACGCUGGCGGUAGACCUAACACAUGCAAGUCGAGCGGCAGCACAGUAAGAGCUUGCUCUUACGGGUGGCGAGUGGCGGACGGGUGAGGAAUACAUCGGAAUCUACUUUUUCGUGGGGGAUAACGUAGGGAAACUUACGCUAAUACCGCAUACGACCUACGGGUGAAAGCAGGGGAUCUUCGGACCUUGCGCGAUUGAAUGAGCCGAUGUCGGAUUAGCUAGUUGGCGGGGUAAAGGCCCACCAAGGCGACGAUCCGUAGCUGGUCUGAGAGGAUGAUCAGCCACACUGGAACUGAGACACGGUCCAGACUCCUACGGGAGGCAGCAGUAGGGAAUAUUGGACAAUGGGCGCAAGCCUGAUCCAGCCAUACCGCGUGGGUGAAGAAGGCCUUCGGGUUGUAAAGCCCUUUUGUUGGGAAAGAAAAGCAGCAGGUUAAUACCCCGCUGUUCUGACGGUACCCAAAGAAUAAGCACCGGCUAACUUCGUG
Molecule: ribosomal RNA, 492 nt
Filed under: uncultured bacterium
Lineage: Bacteria
Description: partial 16S ribosomal RNA
Rfam family: Bacterial small subunit ribosomal RNA
Source: RNAcentral